AUGCACGCUGGCGGCGUGCCUCAUACAUGCAAGUCGCGCGAACGGACGAGAAGCUUGCUUCUCUGAUGUUAGCGGCGGACGGGUGAGUAACACGUGGAUAACCUACCUAUAAGACUGGGAUAACUUCGGGAAACCGGAGCUAAUACCGGAUAAUAUUUUGAACCGCAUGGUUCAAAAGUGAAAGACGGUCUUGCUGUCACUUAUAGAUGGAUCCGCGCUGCAUUAGCUAGUUGGUAAGGUAACGGCUUACCAAGGCAACGAUGCAUAGCCGACCUGAGAGGGUGAUCGGCCACACUGGAACUGAGACACGGUCCAGACUCCUACGGGAGGCAGCAGUAGGGAAUCUUCCGCAAUGGGUGAAAGCCUGACGGAGCAACGCCGCGUGAGUGAUGAAGGUCUUCGGAUCGUAAAACUCUGUUAUUAGGGAAGAACAUAUGUGUAAGUAACUGUGCACAUCUUGACGGUACCUAAUCAGAAAGCCACGGCUAACUACGUG
RNAcentral lists this ribosomal RNA (496 nucleotides) under uncultured bacterium. RNAcentral describes it as "partial 16S ribosomal RNA". It matches the Rfam family "Bacterial small subunit ribosomal RNA", at positions 29 to 507 of the family's 1533-position model. The record is from RNAcentral.